This is a non-coding RNA of Pelobates cultripes (western spadefoot toad), 202 nucleotides long. The record is from the annotation of a GenBank genome assembly. Lineage: Eukaryota; Metazoa; Chordata; Amphibia; Anura; Pelobatidae.
CAUGCAGUGACAUAGAAACACAGUCAUACACAGAUACAGACAAACACUGGCACACACACAUACAGACACACAGAGAGAGAUACACUGGCACAGACACACAUACAGAGACACAUACAUACAGACACAAUGAUACAAACACAGACACACAAACAGAUACACAGACACAUAAACAGAUACACAUACACACACUGGCACAUACAGA